CGUGUAGGCGGGGUAGUAAGUCUAUCUUAAAAGUGCGGGGCUCAACCCCGUGAGGGGAUAGAAACUUCUAUUCUUGAGUGUCGGAGAGGAAAGUGGAAUUCCCAGUGUAGCGGUGAAAUGCGUAGAUAUUGGGAGGAACACCAGUGGCGAAGGCGACUUUCUGGACGAUAACUGACGCUGAGGCGCGAAAGCCAGGGGAGUGAACG
Molecule: ribosomal RNA, 206 nt
Filed under: uncultured bacterium
Lineage: Bacteria
Description: partial 16S ribosomal RNA
Rfam family: Bacterial small subunit ribosomal RNA
Source: RNAcentral